RNAcentral lists this long non-coding RNA (986 nucleotides) under Apteryx rowi (Okarito brown kiwi). RNAcentral's name for it is "lncRNA (ENSARWG00000007212.1)". The record is from RNAcentral. Lineage: Eukaryota; Metazoa; Chordata; Aves; Apterygiformes; Apterygidae.
AUCUGGGGAACAUUACCGACCACAGUUAUGCAUCUAUCACCAUUUGGAUUUGUUACAGCUGUCAAGCUCUGAGAUGACUCAUUAUGCUGCUGGGAUCAACCGCCCUAAGGGCAGCACUGACCAUGGGGGACGGAGCUGUGUUGUUCAGCGCCAGAGCUGGAAGAAAACUGUUCACAAGAGAGGCUCACCCUCAGCCCCAACUUCUUCAAAAAGAGUAUGUGGCUUGGGCACCCACCACAUGUAAAAGCGGCAAAGGCGCUCCUGGGCUUCAGCAGCUCUGGGGGACUUCGGCAACUGCCUCCAUGCCAAAAUAAGUCCCUAUUGUCCAUCCAUGCCACUCCUCAAGCUCUGUCUCUCCAGCACUGCAGCAAAUACCACGUGACAACAAACAAGGCUCGGCGGAUCCCCUCCACAGCUUGCUGCACCUCAUCUCUCUCUGUCCCUUAUUUAUUAAACCUUGUGAAGGCAUGUAGCAGUGGGGAUUUUGUCCCCAUAGACUACACAUUGGUUGAAGAUUACUGCUUUAUUAUCAGAGUUGGAAAUCUACUGCUUUAUUAUUAAGGUAUUUUCUGCAUUAUAUUGUUGGUCUGAAGCACAGCAAUUUAAUUUUAUAACCAUCAGCUCUUUGACCUACCCAGUACCUAUGUUUUCCCCAGUCUAUUCAAAAUACUGCAGCCAAAAAYAGAAAUCUACUGAUUUCUUCCCCUCUUCUAGGCAUCCUUUUCAGAGUUUUGACCACAUCCAUCCCCACAGGCAUCUUAUUUCCAGUGGCUCACCCUUGGUUUUUAGCCUGCAGCCCAAAUUUAUGUUUUUGUUUUCUCCAUUUCUUGCAUGCAACCCUGUGCCUUAUUUUCUGAUGUUUCUCUGCCUGCCUUCUUAAUACAAUCUAUGGGUCCUUGAUCCUAUACAGACAUGUCCUGCCUCCCUCCUUGUCAAAAAUCUUUUUCCCCAUAAUCCUUCCAUCAAUAAACCUUUAAUCUUUUUCA